This is a long non-coding RNA of Ochotona curzoniae (black-lipped pika), 201 nucleotides long. RefSeq lists it as uncharacterized. NCBI's taxonomy places the organism in Eukaryota, Metazoa, Chordata, Mammalia, Lagomorpha, Ochotonidae. The record is from RefSeq and is a predicted model, not a curated record. The transcript is spliced from 3 exons.
UAAAGCAAGUAAUAUUUGCUAAAAAGAAGAAGAAUAGAAAAUGGAUAAAACAAUGACUUCGAUGACAAGAACUCAGUAUUAAAUGAAGCAAGAACAGAAAAUGGAUAAAACCAUGACUUCAGUGGCAAGAACAUAGGCGUGCUGCAUCCAUGGUAUAAGAAGAACCGAACAUGAUACCAGAUGGUACAGUGGAGUGAUGGC